AUUGAACGCUGGCGGCAGGCUUAACACAUGCAAGUCGAGCGGGGUGAUGGUGCUUGCACUAUCACUUAGCGGCGGACGGGUGAGUAAUGCUUAGGAAUCUGCCUAUUAGUGGGGGACAACAUCUCGAAAGGGAUGCUAAUACCGCAUACGUCCUACGGGAGAAAGCAGGGGAUCACUUGUGACCUUGCGCUAAUAGAUGAGCCUAAGUCGGAUUAGCUAGUUGGUGGGGUAAAGGCCUACCAAGGCGACGAUCUGUAGCGGGUCUGAGAGGAGGAUCCGCCACACUGGGACUGAGACACGGCCCAGACUCCUACGGGAGGCAGCAGUGGGGAAUAUCGGACAAUGGGGGGAACCCUGAUCCAGCCAUGCCGCGUGUGUGAAGAAGGCCUUAUGGUUGUAAAGCACUUUAAGCGAGGAGGAGGCUCUUUUGGUUAAUACCCAAGAUGAGUGGACGUUACUCGCAGAAUAAGCACCGGCUAACUCUGUGCCAGCAGCCGCCGUAA
RNAcentral lists this ribosomal RNA (503 nucleotides) under uncultured bacterium. RNAcentral's name for it is "partial 16S ribosomal RNA". It matches the Rfam family "Bacterial small subunit ribosomal RNA", at positions 30 to 523 of the family's 1533-position model. The record is from RNAcentral.